This 481-nucleotide ribosomal RNA is filed under the name uncultured bacterium. Its description in RNAcentral is "partial 16S ribosomal RNA". It matches the Rfam family "Bacterial small subunit ribosomal RNA", at positions 28 to 507 of the family's 1533-position model. The record is from RNAcentral.
GAUGAACGCUGGCGGCGUGCUUAACACAUGCAAGUCGAACGAAGCACUUUAUUUGAUUUCCUUCGGGACUGAUUAUUUUGUGACUGAGUGGCGGACGGGUGAGUAACGCGUGGGUAACCUGCCUUGUACAGGGGGAUAACAGUUGGAAACGGCUGCUAAUACCGCAUAAGCGCACAGCAUCUCAUGAUGCAGUGUGAAAAACUCCGGUGGUAUAAGAUGGACCCGCGUUGGAUUAGCUAGUUGGUGAGGUAACGGCCCACCAAGGCGACGAUCCAUAGCCGACCUGAGAGGGUGACCGGCCACAUUGGGACUGAGACACGGCACAAACUCCUACGGGAGGCAGCAGUGGGGAAUAUUGCACAAUGGGCGAAAGCCUGAUGCAGCGACGCCGCGUGAGCGAAGAAGUAUUUCGGUAUGUAAAGCUCUAUCAGCAGGGAAGAUAAUGACGGUACCUGACUAAGAAGCACCGGCUAAAUACGUG